GGGCGUGUAGCUCAGCUUGGAUAGAGCACCAGCCUUCUAAGCUGGGGGUCCGGGGUUCGAAUCCUCGCACGCCCA
Molecule: transfer RNA, 75 nt
Filed under: Candidatus Aenigmatarchaeota archaeon
Lineage: Archaea; Nanobdellati; Candidatus Aenigmatarchaeota
Description: tRNA-Arg
Rfam family: tRNA
About the family: Transfer RNA (tRNA) molecules are approximately 80 nucleotides in length. Their secondary structure includes four short double-helical elements and three loops (D, anti-codon, and T loops). Further hydrogen bonds mediate the characteristic L-shaped molecular structure. tRNAs have two regions of fundamental functional importance: the anti-codon, which is responsible for specific mRNA codon recognition, and the 3' end, to which the tRNAs corresponding amino acid is attached (by aminoacyl-tRNA synthetases). tRNAs cope with the degeneracy of the genetic code in two manners: having more than one tRNA (with a specific anti-codon) for a particular amino acid; and 'wobble' base-pairing, i.e. permitting non-standard base-pairing at the 3rd anti-codon position.
Source: RNAcentral